AAGCCUCUGAGUAAAGCAGAAGGAUCGUUGCUUGUGAUGGAACCCAUUUGAGUAGCUUUCUGAAGCAGUGCCGUGGCUGACACGUUAGAACCCACGUUCAAGCUUUCUUCAGGGUGAUGAACAAGAACGUCGGAGCUAUAUAGAGAAGGAAGACUCGUCUCUGAGUUCUUGAUGUUUUCUUGAAAGAAUCCGAGGUUGAAGAAGCUGUUGUUGGUGCUACUUUUGGAGUUUAUGUUGUUGACCGGAUCAAACUGGUUUAGACCUUGAUGGUUCAUGAAACUCUGAUCGUUGUUGUUCGGUACAGUCAGCAUUCCUUGGCUCGAUUGGAUUAAGAAGUUAGGGUUUGACGUCUGCGGAACAAAGUGUCUGCUAUUUUCAGAAGAUGCAAUGUUUAGAUUGUAACCCGCGAGAGGCGAAAAUCCAGAGUUUGGAUGGCCACUCAAAUGGUGGUGGGAUAGAGUCCUGCCACCAUCCAGUCUCCCGUACAAUCCACCGGAGCCGGCGCCGCUGCUAGCAGCUUCCAUUGACGUGAAGCUCAAGGUAGGGUUUCUAGCAGUCUCUUGUAUCAAUGCAUCACAGAAAGCCCUGUGUGUAAUGUAACUAUCGCGUCUGGAAAAGAAAAAGCCCAAACAUUUUUUAGCUUAUUGGAUUAUAUAUAUGUAUAUGUAUUUUGCAAACUAUAUAUUAUGUAAAUGUUGCAUAAUCAUCAUUAAUGAAUGCUAUAGUUAUAAUGGCUACCAUUUAUAGGAGAGAAUGAUAGAAGAAUAUAAAGGUCGAGUUAAUUGCUACUUUAAUGAAAGACCUUCUUCAUUUAAUAUGUUGCAUAUGUUGACGUGAAUCAUCAUCAAUGAAUGCUAUAGUUAUUAAUUAUGGUUACUAUUUAUAUAUAGGAGAGAAUAUUAGAAGAACAUAAAGCUCGAGUCACUUGCUACUUUAAUGAAAGACCUUCUUCAUUUAAUGCAAAGCCCAUGAAUGUUAAUAUAAGUCAGUCACAUUCUACAACAACGUAUUUAACUCAAACCAUGAAAAUAAAGAAAGAAACCCUAGAACAGCAUUAAAGUGUUUAGCAGAACACUAUAAUGAAAUAAGUAACGCACUUUAACCAAACAUAUAUGUAUCUAUGUAUGCAUGUGUCUAGAGAGAGAAAGAGAUAAGACAGGGUCCACAAAAGAAGAGGAGUUUCAUAAAAAGGGGAACCUGCAAAAGUGAAGAAGAAGAAAACAAAAGUGGAAAAUGAAAAAACAGAUCUAACUCAUACAUGUGACCAAAUUUAGCAUCUUUUAAAUUUUCUCUCUUUCUCUUCACUGUGUUUCUCUAUUCAGUACUCAUCAACAACCAAACAAAUACAGUGAUAGAUCCUAUGUACAUAAUCACAAUAUACAUUUUAUGGGCGAUGUACUCGAGGUUCAAAUUCCAUGGCCAAAAAUAUAUACGAUUUCAGUUACAGUUCAUAUUAUAUAUUUGGUAUAUUUCAUGUAAAAUUAGUAAAAAAUGUAAGUUUUAUAUGCAGUGUUGAAUGCAGCUUUUUACUUAAAAUAGAUUUUCAAUACCAAAAGAAAUGAUGGUCCAUGGUAUCAUACUUUACCUAGAUUAUCUAGAUACUACAGACAUAUAUAUUAUAUAUACGUUUCAUCACUUAAUUAGCCCAAAUACGAACAAAUUAUUUAAAUGAAAUGGACAGAUACUAGUUACCUAGAGAAGAUGGUACCACAGUCACAUCGAUACUCUUUAGUACCACAGGUCUUAGAGUGAGCUUUCCAAUCCGAUUGAACAGCGUAACGCUUAGAACAUUUAUCGCACUUCCACUUCUUUUCUCCAUGUUUACGGUAAUAGUGCUUCUUAAUUCCGGUGAGGUCUCCGAGAGCACGUGAGGGGUCAUGGUGGACGCACGUGGGUUCCGGACAAAGAUAGACUUUCCUCUUUACUUCUUUGGUUGACUUCUGUUUGAGUUUCCAUGGGAGAUUGUGUCCUCUUCGGUGAAGCUGUAGGUUUUGUUCUCUUUGAAACCCUUUCUUGCAUACAUCGCAUAUGAACCUGUUUGUAGCCAUUAUUGUCUUUGGAGAUAAAGCUACCACUUCCGCAUCAGGAUCUAUUUGAUAAAUUAAAUUUAGUCACCAUUCAAGAUCUUGCAAUGUUAAUCUAUGAGGAGUAAAUCAAGAAAUUGAUAAAAGAAAAAAACGGUAAAGAACAAAGUACAAACUACAAAACUUUCAAAGUUCAAGAUAAAAUAUCACAAUGAAUCAAUAAGAAUCAACAGCAAGAAUAACAUAAUCACAUAUAGCGACAAAGCAAGCCAGAGCAAGGCACGACAAGAAGAUAGCACAUGAGAAAAAGAUCAAGCAAGGCACAACAAGAACAACAUAAUCACUUCAAGAUCAAGUCAAAGUCGAACAAAAAUCAUGUCGAACUUGAACAAAAAACAUAAACAAACUCGAACAAAAAAGAUGAAUAGAACACAAUUUCGAACAACAAACAACAAGAAUAAACUCGAACAACAAACACAUCAAGAUCAAGUUAAACGCAAAAAAAAAAAAAAAUCUCAAAAAAUUAGAGAUUUGGGUUAUUCGAGAUCGAUUUCUAGACGCCUCUGGUGGAGGAGAAUACUUUCAGUUUGAUAUCUGCGUGAUUUUUGGAUUUAUGGUUAAUAAAUCCAAUUUUACUUUCUCAAUCGUCGAGAUAUUCAGGGGAAUAGAAACAUUGAAGUAUACAAGGGAAAGUGUGAAGUGGGGCAUCGGGUUUCAAGAGUCAUUAAGUCUAAUAAUUUUCCAGAAAUACCCGCUCGGGUCCCGGGCUGGUUAUAGACCCAAAUCUGCUACUCACAGGUCCCUCAUCGUUAAUUAGACCCAAUAGAGUAAAAUUCUCGGUUCCGGUUUUGGACCUGAACCUGCAUUUUUGGUUCGGUUCUGAAUCGGGUCCUCGGAUCCGAGUAAAAUGCCCAGGCUUAAUGAGAGAUUUCACAAUCCGAAUUCAGACAGAAAUUUAGUUUCAAAAAUUUAAAACUCACCAUCUAUAUCCAAACAUAGACUUCUAAAUUUUACUUUUUUGUACUUAUUUCAAAUCAAAUCAGAUGAUAGAUGAUGCCAGAUUAUGAUUUCAUGAUAUAUAGUAGGAAUGUCUAAUCAACAAAUAAAUCAUCAUUUAAAGCGAUUCCCUUGUUACAUAUACAAAAUAUAUGUCACUGAUUUUUGAAAUUCACUACACCCGCAAUCAAUGUUUUAAAUAUUUCAGUAAACUUAUAUGCGGAUUUGGAAUAACCAACCAAAUGGCCAAAUGGUUCAAAAGAUAUAGAUCUAGUUUAUACAUAUAUAGAAAUCAUUAGUUAUUAAUUAUAAUACAUGAUAAUGAAUAAUACGGAGAUAUUGGAUGCUUCUGUUUGGACUAUACUUUAUAUUGGAAUAUAACCGCUACGAUUGGCGUAUUAUUAUUCACGUCGAAUAUGCUCAUAUAUUUUCCAUGUGCAACGUGGGAUGUGUAAUCUAGUUUAUAAAUCAAAUCUAGUAUUUAUACAUCGUAAGUAUGCAUUUGUAUAAUAUUCAGACACUAACAAAUAUUUUUCUUCGUUUUUUAGUAUACUAGAUCCUAACCCGUUUUAGGGAGAAACAAAUUUAUAAACGUAAAAGUCUGAAUGUUAUUACAUAUUUUUUUCGGUGUAAAUAAUUUUAUUAUAUAUAUUAUUAUUUAAAUAAAUUUUAAGUUAAUUUGUAUAUAGUGGAAUUUAUUUAUAUGAGAUACUAUAAUAAUGAACAAGACAUACAUAAUCAUAGGUUGAAUUUCUCAUUUAUUAAUAUUAUUUUAAAUAUAAAAAUGAUCUUAUAUAGAGUGUACUUUGACUUCCAUUUACAAGUUUAUAAAUUAUAUAAUAUUUAUGUAAUAUACUAGCUAAUAUAAUACAUAUAUUUUAACAUCCGUUAUAUUUUAAAAUUUAUCAUAAUUAGAUGUGGAGGUUUUAUCUGUUUAUGGGGUUGUGUUAUUUUAUUUUAUAUGAUUUUAGUAUAUCUUUUUAUCAAAACGAAGUUAGUAUACAUUUUGAAUAUUCUAAGUAAGUAAUCUAGAGUACAUAUAUGGUUAUGGAACUAGCCGUAUUUAAAAGUUUGUAUUUAUUUUAUGGAUUUUGAAAACCAAAGAAUCAAUAUAGAAAGUUGGUACGUAACAUGGUUAGAUUCUAAUAUAUAUAUAUAUAAAUAUAAGUGUAGAAAUGUAUCAAUUGAUUUACAAAUUUAUUUCAAGAAAACUAUCUAAUAUAGUCUAAAAUAUGCAAUUUUUUUUCUUGAAUAUCAUAUUAAAAAUAGGGAAAAAUAUUAAUUAUAAACUUAAAAAAGAAACUUUUUCAAUAAGUUUUGAACUAUUACCUUCUGAACGAAUGUGUACUUUGAAAAUGUGAGAGCUGUGAGGAUCCGUGUUGAGAUUUCAUGGUUAUCACGUUCAGAACCUAUAAGGUUUUGGGCAAAAAAAAAAACCUAUAAAGGUAAUUCACAAGAACGUUAAUUUAAAUAUCCACAUAUGAAUUAUACGAUUUUUUGGCCAAAAUAACUUCUUUUUUGGCCAAAUAACUUGUUCAUAUUAAAAUUCUUUGAAGUUUGUACCAACUUUUCUCCAAAUAACCGCAUCAUACCUCUUCAUCCAUUCCGUUUAACCCACUUUUUUAUAAAAUAUUGUUUGUCAAAAUGCAGAAUAAAAGUUGGCAUAUAAUUAAGAAAGUUGCAGAAGCAAUAAAUUGGCAUAAAAUUAAGCUAAUCGUUUAUAUUCAAACCAUAAUAGUUUAUACUAUUCAGUUAUAAACAACAAAUUAAGUAGCAAACUUCUAUAUAACAACUUAACAAAAGACAUAACCUAAUGAUGAGAGUCUCAAACUUAAUAGAGUUCAGUGAAAGAUCUAUUAUAUGUAGACUAUGAUUAUGAAAGCAAGAAAGGAAGAUAGCAAAAUUAUCACCUAACUAGUUAUAGGUGAGUAGGUUACAAUAAUAAGAUAUUUUCAAGAUCUUCCAAAUGGAUGAUUUUGCUCCGAAAACUUCAGUUCACCAACGUCGCCUCCACGACCACGGCCGCGAUUUACAUUUCUAACCAUUCCUCCAACUCCAAGAAAAUCUAACGUUAACUUGUCCGAGCCGCUCAUAUUUCCAUUGUUUCCGAAAUGAACAUCGAAUAUAUUGCCACCGGAUCCGCCGGCACCACCGCCAUUUACUGCGACUAGUGAGUUCAUUAGACCUUGAAGAUUACCGUUAUUAUCGUUCCCCAUAAUCUGCCCUCCUCCAAAAUCAUUACUUGACGAAGAAGCUAAGCCUCUGAAUAAAGCAGAAGGAUCGUUGCUUGUGAUGGAACCCAUUUGAGUAGCUUUCUGAAGCAGUGCCGUGGCUGACACGUUAGAACCCACGUUCAAGCUUUCUUCAGGGUGAUGAACAAGAACGUCGGAGCUAUAUAGAGAAGGAAGACUCGUCUCUGAGUUCUUGAUGUUUUCUUGAAAGAAUCCGAGGUUGAAGAAGCUGUUGUUGGUGCUACUUUUGGAGUUUAUGUUGUUGACCGGAUCAAACUGGUUUAGACCUUGAUGGUUCAUGAAACUCUGAUCGUUGUUGUUCGGUACAGUCAGCAUUCCUUGG
Molecule: long non-coding RNA, 5594 nt
Filed under: Brassica napus (rape)
Lineage: Eukaryota; Viridiplantae; Streptophyta; Magnoliopsida; Brassicales; Brassicaceae
Description: long non-coding RNA (BNAP_LNC011859)
Source: RNAcentral